Molecule: non-coding RNA, 1086 nt
Organism: Macaca mulatta (Rhesus monkey)
Lineage: Eukaryota; Metazoa; Chordata; Mammalia; Primates; Cercopithecidae
Source: RefSeq, a predicted model, not a curated record
CCCUGGGACCUGCAGUGGGUUCAACCAUGUUGUCACAUGUGUAUUGGCUAUUUGGAUAUACUGUUUCCUGUACCCAUUCAAACGUCUUGCUGAUCUUCCACUGGAUUAUCUAAUUUGAUUAGUAUAAAUCCUUUAUAUGUUCUGGAUAUGAGUAAUUGGUCAAGUAUAUAUGCUACAAAAAAUCUUAUCUGAUUCUGGAGUUCUGCUGUUUAACUCUCCUAAUAGUGGUUUUUGAUAAACAGAUUUUAAAAAUUUGAAUACAGUCUAAUUUAACAAUCUUUUUCUCUGUGGUUAGUACACUUUUUCUUCUGCUUGCAUAGUAAUUGCUGACUCAAGAUUAUGAAGAUAUCCUCCCUCCCAUAUUAGCUUCUAGAAGUUGUAUGUUGUAUAUGUCACAUUAAGAUUUGCAAUCCAUUGAGGACUGAUAUUUGUAUAUGCUAUGAGAAAAAGAACAGCAAGAAGCAAUUGAACACAUUGAUGAAGUUCAAAAUGAAAUAGAGGGGAAGCUCCUCUCCCUUCUUUGUGAUCUGGGCAAUGCAUGUCUUGCUGUUAUUGCUGCUUAUUCAGGACACAUAUAUUUCUCAGUGUGAAGACUUUUUAGAAUACGUAUUCCAUUCAUAUUGCUGGAAGUAGGAGUCACACAGAUUUCAGGUCAGACUUAGAAGUCACACCAAGAAAGGAAAUCACCUUCAACUCUUCAAAAGGAUACCACAGAGCCCUAAAAUCAAGUAGGAAAGAAAAAAAAAGAACAUCCCCCAAACAAUUUUUGUGUGAAGAUACUGCUACAAUACUUCCGGGCCAGAUUGUUUUUAGUGCUGCCAUCCCGGAUUCUUCACAGUGAGGUGGGGCCUGGUUGGAGCUGAGUGGAUCAGGCGCACACUUCUCCUUCACUGUUCUCAUGAUAGUGGGUAAGUUCUGACGAGAUCUGGAUGUUUGUAAGUGUGUGGCACCUCUUCCAACUCUCUUUUCCUCCUACUCCAGGCAUGUAAGACAUACCUGCUUCCCCUUCACCUUUCACCAUGACUGAAAGUUUGCUGAGGCCUCCCCAGCCAUACUACCUGUACAGCCCAUGGAACCAUGUAUCAA